UUUUGCGAUUCACUUACAAAAUCAACAAAGAGAAGAUUAAUUGCCGAUUCAUUCUUGAUCGUCAUCAUCAACUGAUUAUUAAGGAUCAAUUAUAACCCAUCACAAUUUUAAAAACCAACUUGGAGAUUAGCGAUCGAAGAUUCCGAUAUUCAAAGAUCAAUGAUUCAGGUUGCAGGCAACAGAGACAAAAAUGAUAACGGCCACCAAAAACACCGGAAUCGACGGUAGUGCCCAAGUCCCAUUCCCAGCGGCAGAGGUAACAAGCAUCCGGACAACCGACCCAAGGCGCCAACUGAUUUCCGGCAAGAAAUUCCGGUGAAGAAGAUGAUGGAUGUGGUAGCCAGAAAUUAAAGGUGGGGGCCAGUGGGAUUGUCGGAAAAUAAGGGAAGAAGACCGGUGGGGUUGUUAGAAAGAGAGAGACGGUGGAGGGGGUUACUUACCUCGAACACCAGUCUAGAUGAUUCUUGGGUGAGACUCUCGAGAGGCUUACUAUGUGUGGAUGUAUGAGAUGACUCGUCUUCGCUUGCGGAUGGACUCCACUUCAACCAACUCAGUGAGUCUCAUGUUCUAUCUCCCCCUGACCACUGAGAUGGGACUGAUAGUAAUAUUCUGUUUCAAGAAAGUCGCAGUGGACAGUGGUAAUCACACGAUGUCGUAAUGGGUUAUAGCAUCAGUAUCCUUUCUGAUUCAUCUCAUAACCAACAAAGACA
RNAcentral lists this long non-coding RNA (710 nucleotides) under Helianthus annuus (common sunflower). The record is from RNAcentral. Lineage: Eukaryota; Viridiplantae; Streptophyta; Magnoliopsida; Asterales; Asteraceae.